Molecule: ribosomal RNA, 484 nt
Filed under: uncultured bacterium
Lineage: Bacteria
Description: partial 16S ribosomal RNA
Rfam family: Bacterial small subunit ribosomal RNA
Source: RNAcentral
AUUGAACGCUGGCGGCAGGCCUAACACAUGCAAGUCGAGCGGUAGAAGGGAGCUUGCUCCUCUAUCCAGUGGCGGACGGGUGAGUAAUGCCUCGGAAUCUGCCUUGUAGUGGGGGAUAACUUCCCGAAACGGGCCCUAAUACCGCAUACGUCCUGAGGGCGAAAGUGGGGGGUCCAAAGACCUCACGUUAUCGGAUCAGCCAAGGUCGGCUUAGCUAGUUGGUGGGGUAAAGGCUUACCAAGGCGUCGAUCGGUAACUCGUCUGAGAGGAUGAUCCGUCACGCUGGGACUGGGACACGGCCCAGACUACUACGGGAGGCAGCAGUGGGGAAUGUUGGACAAUGGGCGAAAGCCUGAUCCAGCAAUGCCGCGUGUGUGAAGAAGGUCUUCGGGUUGUAAAGGACUGUUAUCAGGGAGAAACGGCUAUUGGUUAAUGCCGGCGCGGUAUGACGUUACCGGCAGAAUAAGCACCGGCUAACUCCGUG